This is a long non-coding RNA of Perognathus longimembris pacificus (Pacific pocket mouse), 450 nucleotides long. RefSeq lists it as uncharacterized. The transcript is spliced from 3 exons. Lineage: Eukaryota; Metazoa; Chordata; Mammalia; Rodentia; Heteromyidae. The record is from RefSeq and is a predicted model, not a curated record.
GAAGAUCAUGGUUUGAAGCCAGCUGGACUGAAAAUGAAUAAAUACAUAAACAAAUAUAUGCAAAACAUAUACCAUACAAUAGAGCAUUAUUCAGCAAGAAAAAGAAGGAAACACUGUUGCAUAUCAUAACAUGGAUGAAUCUUGAAAACAUGAGGCCAAGUGAAAGAAGCUAGACACAAAGCCAACAUAUUAUGGAAUCUCACUUAUAUGGAAUGUCCUGUCUAGGCAAAUUCAUGGAGCCCGAAAGCACAAGAGCAGUUACCAGGGGCUGGAGGAGAGGAAAUGGAGAUUAUCUUAACAGAAAUAUCACAGACUGGGUAGUGUAAACAAUAGGGAUGUAUUAGCACACAGUUUUGAAGGCUGGAAAUCCAAACUUGAGGUAUCAGUAAUGUUGGUUUCAAGUGAAGCCUGACUUUCUGAGGGCCACCUUCUUGCGAUGUCCUUUCCUCU